Molecule: ribosomal RNA, 497 nt
Filed under: uncultured bacterium
Lineage: Bacteria
Description: partial 16S ribosomal RNA
Rfam family: Bacterial small subunit ribosomal RNA
Source: RNAcentral
GAUGAACGCUGGCGGCGUGCCUAAUACAUGCCAGUCGAGCGAACGGACGAGAAGCUUGCUUCUCUGAUGUUAGCGGCGGACGGGUGAGUAACACGUGGAUAACCUACCUAUAAGACUGGGAUAACUUCGGGAAACCGGAGCUAAUACCGGAUAAUAUUUUGAACCGCAUGGUUCAAAAGUGAAAGACGGUCUUGCUGUCACUUAUAGAUGGAUCCGCGCUGCAUUAGCUAGUUGGUAAGGUAACGGCUUACCAAGGCAACGAUGCAUAGCCGACCUGAGGGGGUGAUCGGCCACACGGGAACUGAGACACGGUCCAGACUCCUACGGGAGGCAGCAGUAGGGAAUCUUCCGCAAUGGGCGAAAGCCUGACGGAGCAACGCCGCGUGAGUGAUGAAGGUCUUCGGAUCGUAAAACUCUGUUAUUAGGGAAGAACAUAUGUGUAAGUAACUGUGCACAUCUUGACGGUACCUAAUCAGAAAGCCACGGCUAACUACGUG